AGAGUUUGAUCCUGGCUCAGGAUGAACGCUAGCGGCAGGCCUAACACAUGCAAGUCGAACGGUAAGGACCACUUCGGUGGUUACACGAGUGGCGCACGGGUGAGUAACGCGUAUGCAACCUACCCUUAACAGGGGGAUAGCCCGAAGAAAUUCGGAUUAAUACCCCAUAAUACUAUAAAUAAGCAUUUAUUAAUAGUAAAAACUCCGGUGGUUAAGGAUGGGCAUGCGUACCAUUAGAUAGUUGGUAAGGUAACGGCUUACCAAGUCUACGAUGGUUAGGGGGCCUGAGAGGGUGGUCCCCCACACUGGUACUGAGACACGGACCAGACUCCUACGGGAGGCAGCAGUGAGGGAUAUUGCGCAAUGGACGAAAGUCUGACGCAGCCAUGCCGCGUGCAGGAUGACGGCCCUACGGGUUGUAAACUGCUUUUAUACAGGAAGAAAACUUUCAACGUGUUGAGAGUUGACGGUACUGUAAGAAUAAGCAUCGGCUAACUCCGUGCCAGCAGCCGCGGUAAUACGGAGGAUGCAAGCGUUAUCCGGAUUUAUUGGGUUUAAAGGGUGCGUAGGCGGAAUAAUAAGUCAGUGGUGAAAUCCUGCAGCUUAACUGUAGAACUGCCAUUGAUACUGUUAUUCUUGAAUAUAGUUGAGGUAGGCGGAAUGUGUAAUGUAGCGGUGAAAUGCAUAGAUAUUACACAGAACACCGAUUGCGUAGGCAGCUUACUAAGCUAUUAUUGACGCUGAGGCACGAAAGCGUGGGGAUCGAACAGGAUUAGAUACCCUGGUAGUCCACGCUGUAAACGAUGAUCACUAGCUGUUGGCGAUACACCGAUCAGCGGCAAAGCGAAAGCAUUAAGUGAUCCACCUGGGGAGUACGGUCGCAAGAUUGAAACUCAAAGGAAUUGACGGGGGCCCGCACAAGCGGAGGAACAUGUGGUUUAAUUCGAUGAUACGCGAGGAACCUUACCUGGGCUUAAAUGCAGGACGACGAACUGGGAAACCAGUUUUCUCUUCGGAGCGGACUGCAAGGUGCUGCAUGGUUGUCGUCAGCUCGUGCCGUGAGGUGUCGGGUUAAGUCCCAUAACGAGCGCAACCCCUAUCGUUAGUUGCCAGCGGAUCAUGCCGGGGACUCUAACGAAACUGCCGGUGUAAACCGAGAGGAAGGUGGGGAUGACGUCAAAUCAGCACGGCCCUUAUGUCCAGGGCUACACACGUGUUACAAUGGUCGGUACAGAGGGUAGCUACUAUGUAAAUAGAUGCCAAUCUCGAAAACCGGUCUUAGUUCGGAUCGAAGUCUGCAACUCGACUUCGUGAAGCUGGAUUCGCUAGUAAUCGCGCAUCAGCCACGGCGCGGUGAAUAC
RNAcentral lists this ribosomal RNA (1361 nucleotides) under metagenome. RNAcentral describes it as "bacterial SSU rRNA". It matches the Rfam family "Bacterial small subunit ribosomal RNA", at positions 8 to 1369 of the family's 1533-position model. The record is from RNAcentral.